Molecule: ribosomal RNA, 1688 nt
Filed under: Klebsiella variicola
Lineage: Bacteria; Pseudomonadati; Pseudomonadota; Gammaproteobacteria; Enterobacterales; Enterobacteriaceae
Description: bacterial LSU rRNA
Rfam family: Bacterial large subunit ribosomal RNA
Source: RNAcentral
CCUGUGAGGGUUGCUGGAGGUAUCAGAAGUGCGAAUGCUGACAUAAGUAACGAUAAAGCGGGUGAAAAGCCCGCUCGCCGGAAGACCAAGGGUUCCUGUCCAACGUUAAUCGGGGCAGGGUGAGUCGACCCCUAAGGCGAGGCCGAAAGGCGUAGUCGAUGGGAAACAGGUUAAUAUUCCUGUACUUGGUGUUACUGCGAAGGGGGGACGGAGAAGGCUAUGUUAGCCGGGCGACGGUUGUCCCGGUUUAAGCAUGUAGGCGGAGGUUCCAGGUAAAUCCGGUACCUUUUAACGCUGAGGUGUGAUGACGAGGCACUACGGUGCUGAAGUAACAAAUGCCCUGCUUCCAGGAAAAGCCUCUAAGCAUCAGGUAACAUCAAAUCGUACCCCAAACCGACACAGGUGGUCAGGUAGAGAAUACCAAGGCGCUUGAGAGAACUCGGGUGAAGGAACUAGGCAAAAUGGUGCCGUAACUUCGGGAGAAGGCACGCUGGUGUGUAGGUGAAGUCCCUGCGGAUGGAGCUGAGACCAGUCGAAGAUACCAGCUGGCUGCAACUGUUUAUUAAAAACACAGCACUGUGCAAACACGAAAGUGGACGUAUACGGUGUGACGCCUGCCCGGUGCCGGAAGGUUAAUUGAUGGGGUUAUCCGUAAGGAGAAGCUCUUGAUCGAAGCCCCGGUAAACGGCGGCCGUAACUAUAACGGUCCUAAGGUAGCGAAAUUCCUUGUCGGGUAAGUUCCGACCUGCACGAAUGGCGUAAUGAUGGCCAGGCUGUCUCCACCCGAGACUCAGUGAAAUUGAACUCGCUGUGAAGAUGCAGUGUACCCGCGGCAAGACGGAAAGACCCCGUGAACCUUUACUAUAGCUUGACACUGAACAUUGAGCCUUGAUGUGUAGGAUAGGUGGGAGGCUUUGAAGCGUGGACGCCAGUCUGCGUGGAGCCAACCUUGAAAUACCACCCUUUAAUGUUUGAUGUUCUAACGUAGGCCCCUAAUCGGGGUUGCGGACAGUGUCUGGUGGGUAGUUUGACUGGGGCGGUCUCCUCCCAAAGAGUAACGGAGGAGCACGAAGGUUAGCUAAUCCUGGUCGGACAUCAGGAGGUUAGUGCAAUGGCAUAAGCUAGCUUGACUGCGAGCGUGACGGCGCGAGCAGGUGCGAAAGCAGGUCAUAGUGAUCCGGUGGUUCUGAAUGGAAGGGCCAUCGCUCAACGGAUAAAAGGUACUCCGGGGAUAACAGGCUGAUACCGCCCAAGAGUUCAUAUCGACGGCGGUGUUUGGCACCUCGAUGUCGGCUCAUCACAUCCUGGGGCUGAAGUAGGUCCCAAGGGUAUGGCUGUUCGCCAUUUAAAGUGGUACGCGAGCUGGGUUUAGAACGUCGUGAGACAGUUCGGUCCCUAUCUGCCGUGGGCGCUGGAGAAUUGAGGGGGGCUGCUCCUAGUACGAGAGGACCGGAGUGGACGCAUCACUGGUGUUCGGGUUGUCAUGCCAAUGGCACUGCCCGGUAGCUAAAUGCGGAAGAGAUAAGUGCUGAAAGCAUCUAAGCACGAAACUUGCCCCGAGAUGAGUUCUCCCUGAGACUAUAAGUCUCCUGAAGGAACGUUGAAGACGACGACGUUGAUAGGCCGGGUGUGUAAGCGCAGCGAUGCGUUGAGCUAACCGGUACUAAUGAACCGUGAGGCUUAACCUU